This is an RNA transcript of Chinchilla lanigera (long-tailed chinchilla), 2330 nucleotides long. RefSeq lists it as uncharacterized. The record is from RefSeq and is a predicted model, not a curated record. The transcript has 2 exons. NCBI's taxonomy places the organism in Eukaryota, Metazoa, Chordata, Mammalia, Rodentia, Chinchillidae.
GGCAGCAGUCCCAGACAGCCCCAUGGUGCCCAGGCAGAGCCCCGGGGCUUUAGGCCAGCUCCUGAGAAUGACCACAAUUGUCUGAAAAGCAGGAGGCUCCCUGGAAGACCCGGCACAUUGCUGGCACCCGCUUGCCUCUCCCUCCUGGUCUGGUGCCUCCCUGCACAGGUAACAUCUCAAUUCACCCACCAAAGGCGUGAGAAGCGUGGACAGCUGGGAUCCUGACCGGUGGAACAAGGGAGGCUGCUGAGAGGACAGGCGUUCCCUGCAGUGUCACACGUGGACAAAGGAGCCUGGACAGAGGGCAUGGCCCCGCGUCCUUUCCCACGCAUUUGGCCCAGGCUCAGAGCAAGCCAGAUGCCAGAGCACCAGCCGGGUGGGCAGAGUGCAUGGCCUGCUCCUUUGCCUUUCACUUCCUGCAUGCCAGGCUCCUGGUGCUACAGCGCAGACCCUCCACAUGUCCUGGGGCAGCACCCCCUCUGCCCUCUGUGCCCCUGGGGGACUCAGCCCCCGGGAGUGAACUGGGCUCCUGCAGAUGCAGCAGCCUGGAGAACCCAGGGCGGAGGGGGUGUCUCCGUCUGUCCCUGACUUGUGUUCCUAGCCUCUUCCCUCUGUCCUGCGGUAGAUGAUCCAUCCCCUCCCCCAUUCCCAUUCUGAACCCUGAGCCCCAGGAGAUCAGAGUGUGACCAUAAUUGGAGACAGGGUCUUUAAAGCAGUGACUGGGUUGGAUCAGGUCUUCAGGGGGUCCUACCCAGUCUGACUGGGCGACACAGACACACAGAGGGUGACCUUGCACCUUGCAAGGACACAGGGAGAAGGUGCCGCCUAUGAGCCCAGACACCAAACCCGCCUGCUCCUUGGCCUUGGCCUUCCAGCCUCGGAAUGGUGCGAAACACACUUCCAUUUCCGUGCGGAAGUCACCAGGCUGCUGCUGUGUCCUCCGGCCCUCAGGAGGUAGCAGACCUGCUUCCUUGCCUGGAGCCGGCGGCAGCUGUCCGUCUGUUCCUCUUGGGUGCCUGGCAUCCCCGCAGCUCCAGCCCCACGACCGAUGCCCUCACUGCGUGGUGUGACCCAGCCUCACCUCUGUCUCAAUGGGACCCCAACGCCACCUCUGCUGUUUCAGGACACGGUGUGAGCACGCUGUGGGGAAGGGCCAGGCCGCCAGCCAGGGACCGUGGGACAGGGCGCCGGACAGCAGCCGGCCCCUGACUGACAGAGGAGCAAACACAGAUGUGCGGCUCGUGCCCGAGGUCAGGAGCUCAUGUCCCAGCAGGGUUUGGAUGCAAAUACGAGCUCCCGAGUCUUCUCUCGGUGCUUCCUAUGGCGCCUGUGACUGGCUCCAGGUGUUCUCCUCGCCCGCGUUUUGGGUGACGGGGUGGACGCGGGGUGCCGUGGAGGAGGCCUCCUCCUGAGAGCGGCACUGGCCCCGUAACUGACAGCUGUGCCCUUUUAGGGGUCCGGAUGUGAGAACCCUGCUCCACUCAGGCCGCGCACAGGCCAGCACCUCGCGGAGCCCCAGAGAGGGCGGAGCUUGCCAAGGCCGGAACAGUGCCCUGCGCCCCUUCCUCUGGGGCACGGCUCACGGCCUCCUGCUGCCGGUCCUUCCUGGGGGCCUGCGCUCCUGUCCAUCAUUAACGACGCUGAAAUUCGAAUUUCAUGUAACUUUACUCUGCUGCAAAUAGAUGCUCUUAAAGAUUUCUCUUCUCAGCUAAGACUGGAAAAACCUUUCUCAGCUCCAGGACAGACGGCAACGGGCAGGGGCGGAGUCGGGCUGUGUCCACCCCGCUGCGGGCAGUUAAAACAGUCAUCAGGAAGAUGGCAGUGGGGAGCGAUUAACGAGAUGAAACAGAUGUGUCCUUGGUGGUUUUCCUGGCCGCUCCGAGUGGACCUGAGCUGUGGACAGCACAGCGUCGUUCUGGGGAAGGGGCUGGAAAAACCUUCGGAGAUGCGUACCCGGGCCAUCAACCCCUCCCAAGCACUGGCGGCCCAAGAAGAGACUGGAAAGCGGGCAUAAGGCCCAGCGGCGCUGUCCUCCAUGGGCUCCGCUCACUGGCGAAGUCAGUUAACCCAUGUGGCUUCCACCAGCUCCCCCAAAAUGGGGGUCACAGGUGCUGAUCCACAGGAAGGCAUGCGCCAAAUCUGAGAUUGGCCCUGUGAGCUGGAGACACCAGGUGCCUCUUCCCAUCAUAAAUAAAACACCUGCACGGCAGCCAGGCGCUGAGUGGACGCCAGGAGAUUUCCCAUGGUGGAAAGACCUAGCUUUAGGGUCCCACCCUUCCUUCUUACCUCCCACUGCAACCUGAGCCGCACACAGGUCUGGUGUUGGGUCA